GACGAACGCUGGCGGCGUGCUUAACACAUGCAAGUCGAACGGAAAGGCCCUGCUUUUGUGGGGUGCUCGAGUGGCGAACGGGUGAGUAACACGUGAGUAACCUGCCCUUGACUUUGGGAUAACUUCAGGAAACUGGGGCUAAUACCGGAUAGGAGCUCCUGCUGCAUGGUGGGGGUUGGAAAGUUUCGGCGGUUGGGGAUGGACACGCGGCUUAUCAGCUUGUUGGUGGGGUAGUGGCUUACCAAGGCUUUGACGGGUAGCCGGCCUGAGAGGGUGACCGGCCACAUUGGGACUGAGAUACGGCCCAGACUCCUACGGGAGGCAGCAGUGGGGAAUAUUGCACAAUGGGCGGAAGCCUGAUGCAGCAACGCCGCGUGCGGGAUGACGGCCUUCGGGUUGUAAACCGCUUUCGCCUGUGACGAAGCGUGAGUGACGGUAAUGGGUAAAGAAGCACCGGCUGACUACGUG
Molecule: ribosomal RNA, 468 nt
Filed under: uncultured bacterium
Lineage: Bacteria
Description: partial 16S ribosomal RNA
Rfam family: Bacterial small subunit ribosomal RNA
Source: RNAcentral